GAUGAACGCUGGCGGCGUGCCUAAUACAUGCAAGUCGAGCGAACAGACGAGGAGCUUGCUCCCCUGACGUUAGCGGCGGACGGGUGAGUAACACGUGGAUAACCUACCUAUAAGACUGGGAUAACUUCGGGAAACCGGAGCUAAUACCGGAUAAUAUAUUGAACCGCAUGGUUCAAUAGUGAAAGACGGUUUUGCUGUCACUUAUAGAUGGAUCCGCGCCGCAUUAGCUAGUUGGUAAGGUAACGGCUUACCAAGGCAACGAUGCGUAGCCGACCUGAGAGAGUGAUCGGCGACCCUGGAACUGGGACACGGUCCAGACUCCUACGGGAGGCAGCAGUAGGGAAUCUUCCGCAAUGGGCGAAAGCCUGACGGAGCAACGCCGCGUGAGUGAUGAAGGUCUUCGGAUCGUAAAACUCUGUUAUUAGGGAAGAACAAAUGUGUAAGUAACUAUGCACGUCUUGACGGUACCUAAUCAGAAAGCCACGGCUAACUACGUG
RNAcentral lists this ribosomal RNA (497 nucleotides) under uncultured bacterium. Its description in RNAcentral is "partial 16S ribosomal RNA". It matches the Rfam family "Bacterial small subunit ribosomal RNA", at positions 28 to 507 of the family's 1533-position model. The record is from RNAcentral.